Molecule: long non-coding RNA, 4067 nt
Organism: Mya arenaria
Lineage: Eukaryota; Metazoa; Mollusca; Bivalvia; Myida; Myidae
Exons: 3
Source: RefSeq, a predicted model, not a curated record
UCCAGCCAAUAUGACGAGCACCUGUGGUAAACACUGGUUAAUUAGUUGCCAAACAAGUUAAAUGUACCUUCUUUCAAGGUUCACUAAACUAAAACGACCCUACAAUCAUUGACAAUGACGCAAGGCGAUGUCCAGAGUUUUUCUUCCAACUUUCGGUUUCGCUUACGUCUUUAUUAAUUAGAAAUAAAAUUAGAUGGACCAUGAUCUCUGAGAAUGGGGAAAAAUGCAAUUGAUUUGCUUGUAAUUGAUUGUCUCUCAAAUAUUUAUUAAAAAAUAUAAAUUCUAACGUAGCUAUAUAUUCUAACGGUUACGCAUUUAAGACGAAACGCUCUUCACUGGCGGAGGUAAUUUCGAACUCCCGCCAUUUUUGUCGGAAUAAUGCGCCAAAUAAACUGAAGUGUUGUUUCGUUUAUUUAAGGUAAGUUCAAGCGAAGUAAGGGGUGUAAUUCAAUUACUUUUAUAACGAUCUUUUACGCUAACAUUAUUGCUUAAAAUAAAAUAGCAACAUUUUGAAGUAAUGAGCAAAUACGUUUUGUUGUAAUACAUUUUCGCGACAAACGUACGAAAUACGUUUGUGUAGAAACACAGUUCAAUGAAUGUUUGUGACUUACGCGUACAGCUAAUACUUCAUUGUUAUAUAUUUUAACAGCUAUUAUAUUUGUUUCUUAAUGUAUGUAAGCUAAUUUUGUCUAGAAAAAGAAUCAAUUGCCAUAAAGGGUCGGCAGUGAUGCAAAAGUGGGUGGGGAAGGUCAAAAACUAAAACGUUUAAAAAGUCCAUGUUUUAUAUAGUUUUGAGGAACGAUCUUUUAGGGGUGUGAAACAUAUAUUAUUGGCAACAUGUUUUGGGGUAGUAAGGAGUUAACAAAUUUUACAAUAAAAGAUUAAUUAAUAUUUUUGAUCAAAAAAACUUUCACAUUUAUUCAAAAAAGUAUCUUGACAUUGCUUAUCACUUUGUUUUGUUUUUUUUAUGUCAAAAUGCCCCAGACUACCUAUUCAACAAUGUUGUGAGUUCUUUAUUAUAUUUUGUCAAAUAAAUAACCACUAUGCAAGCAAAUUAUAGUUUAGUGUCUGAAAUGAUGUUUCAUAUAUUUUAGCCGGCCUAAAGGAGCUAACAAAGAUAUCAUCAGUCCACAAAGGAAUCAACCAGUGAAGGAGAAAAACAUUCAAAGCUGUAAAUUGCCAAAUCCAUCACCGGACUUAAGGAGCUAACAAAGAAAUCAUCAGUCCACAAAAGAAUCAACCAGUGAAGGAGAAAAACAUUCAAAGCUGUAAAUUGCCAAAUCCAUCAGUUGGAAGAUGGAUGUCAAAGUCUCAGACAAAAGCUUCCAGAGUUAAGAAAAGAUCACUUCAACAAAAACAAGCACGAGAAGAAUGACUGCAAAAAAUAUUUUCGCAGAUGCGUUUCCUCAUCAAGUGUAUAAGGAAAACGGACCUGUCUACAGAGACUAGAUGUAAAUGUCAAGGACUGAAAUGAGCAAUUCAAUGGCUCAUUUCUAAUUGUGUUAAGUGUCAUAAAAAAUUAAAACUGUUAUAAAUGGACAUGUAGUAAUGAUGAAAUUAUCAUCCUGUUGCGAAUAACAUUUACUUAUUCAUGAACUUAGUUCAUGAAUGACAUUUUGAAAAAAUCAUGUUCAUUAACUGUCAAGUUCAUUAACUAAGUGAGAGUUCAUGAACAUGAUUUGUCCAAAUUAUCAUUCUUGAAUAGUUCAUGUUAUUCUCAAAAAGCACACGCUUGACGUCACUGACAUGGAUAUUAAUUUGAUGGACUAAAGAAGCUCCAUACAUGGAAAAUGACAAAUGCGAAUCAAUUAAUACGCUGUCUAGAAUAAAAAAUAACAACUGUAUAACUAAUUUUAUCAGUAAAUACAAAACUGUGAGCUUAGCCCGCUGAUGCCAAAAAUUAAGUCAUUAAUAACUAUGCAUUUAAACUCCAGAAUGACCUUUAUGAACCAUUAAUGUACAGGUGAUAUUUAUUGUUUCUUAAAUACAAUAACUUAUAAACUGUGUUAGUUUGAAUUUUUUAUCCAUGUUUUCAUGCACAUUGGUUAAAAGUACAUGUUUGAAAAAUAUAAUGAUAUAAUUAAAGAGAGAUAACUGUUUUACUUGCGUUUAUGCUGUAAGAGCGUAGAAGGGCAUGUGAGUGAAUUUCAUAAAGCAUGUUAGAGCAUCUUGGGUCAUUUGCUUGCUUACCCUACUGCAUUCAUACAGCAUAAAAGCAGUAAAAUGUGAGCAUUACUUAUAAUUUUAAUACAUAAUAAAAAAAAUGUUCAUUUCGGUUAAACAGUAGGAGUACUUUUAUCUUGUUCUGUGCGUGUCGCAGGCAGAAAAAGGACUUGCAGUUUACUCUAGAUUGAUCAUGGUGUUAAAGACCUUCGCCAACAGUUAUGUAUUAAAUAAUGCAAUUGAGUAUUUGUUCUUUUAGAAAUGUAACCAACAACAUAUGUUGGUAUGAAAGAAUAGCUGAUUUUGUAAUGUAUUAUAAUAUAUUUGUUUUAAAUGACUAAUCCUUAAUUAAGAAAAGUAAUCUACAUUUCAUGAUGAAAUGGAAUUGGUUGCGUAAAACUGGAGCUUACAAGAAAGUGUUUUCUAUUUUCUUGUUGACUAAUUUUUUUUCAUGAUAGUAGUUGACAUUUUUAUUUUUAAACAAGAAAGUUAUAAUGUACCUUUUGAUAUCAAAUGGUUUUCUACGACAUGUCGAGGGCUCAACGCAACACUAUUGUAACUCAUUUUUUUCAAAUUUUACAGGAGGUUGAAAAAACUUCACAUUUUUUUGUAUUAUACAUAUUUUGUAAGAUUCUUAGUAUAUUUGUCUUUGAAAGUAGAAUCAAUUUAAUAAUCCAAAUAGAAAGUUGAAGUAUAAUGUUGUGUUUUUAUUAUAUUUGAAUAAAUAUUAGUUACAAUAGUGUUGCCUCUGAAAAUGAGAAAAUAUCAUUUAAUUUUUCAACGCAACACAAUUGUAACUGAAGUUGCAAUAGUGUUGCAUUUAUCUUUUUUUACCAGUUUUCCAGUUAUAUUUACAAUUUGCAGAGCAACACAGUGAUAUUUUUUUUUUAAGUUGUGCUUACAUAUUAAUUUAAAACAUAGCUGAAAACACAUUUAAUUCCUCAUAGUUCUUUGUAGUUUUUAGCUCGACUAUUCGAAGAAUAAGGAGAGCUAUACUACUCACCCAAGCGUCGGCAUCGGCGUCACACCUUGGUUAAGGUUUUGCGUGCAAGCACACAUAGGUUAAUAUCUCAGCAACUACUUGAGGUAUUGCAUUGAGACUUUAUACAAUGGUACUCAACCAUCCAAUGUACUUAAAUAACCCAGCCCCGAUAUCACGCAAAUACUUUUAAAAGUCAAAUCUCAAUCUCUAUCUCAAUUCAUUUUACCACAUAGAAGCAUAGUAUUAUUCAAAAUCUUGCAUGUUUUCAUACUUUUUGUCAACCUAUUUUCUCAUAGAAUGUGUUAUUGAAAGAUUUUGUCAAUAUUUCAAAGAAAUCUUAUUCUAGAACAAAAUAUAUACUUGAGUAUUUGAUAAAAGGCAAUGAAUUGAACUCAAGUACAUUUUUUGGCAAUAAAAAAGUUUUCAAUUGGAAUCGAGACCAAAGGUGUGAUCAACAUAUUCAAUGAAAGAAUGCGUUUUAAAAAAAAAUGUGAAAACAUAUUCUUGUUUCCAAUAAAUUUUGUAUAAUAUGGUUAAAUGUGUUGAGAUUGAGUUUGAGAUUUGACUUAAGUAUUUUCGUGAUAUUGGGGCCAGGUUAGAUACCUCUAGUUUGCAUUUAAUGCAAAUAAUUGCCCUUUAUUAUUCGACUUACAAAAAUCUGGUUAAGGUUUUGCGUGCAAGCACACAUUGGUUAAAAUCUCAGCAAUUACUUGAGGUAUUGCAUUGAGACUCGAUACAAUGGUACUCAACCAUCCAACAUACAUUAUUAACCAGGUAUGAUAACUCUAGUUUGCAUUUAAUGCAAAUAAUUGCCCUUUAUUAUUCAACUUAGAAAUUCUGGUUAAGGUUUUGCGUGCAAGCACACAUAGGUUAAUAUCUCAGCAACUACUUGAGGUAUUGCAUUGAGACUUUAUACCAUCCA